Long non-coding RNA from Oreochromis aureus, 1417 nucleotides. Lineage: Eukaryota; Metazoa; Chordata; Actinopteri; Cichliformes; Cichlidae. The record is from Ensembl.
CCCCCGUCUGUGCACCCACUUGCCCAGCAUUUUCUACUUUAAACUUCCCCAAUUGUUUUAAGUUCAAAGCCUUUUUGAGCUGCUCUUCAUUCACACACUGCACAAGAAGAUUACCAUCUGAGAGUACUUUAGCAGAAGCUAUAUCACCCACUUUACUGUUAAGUUCAGCUGUCAACACAAACGGACUCAAUUUUUUAAUAAGGACUUGUGUUCUGUCAUUGAAUCUCAGAACAACAAAUAUUCUCGUUCCCUCUCUAGCUUCUAAAGAACCAUCCCUACCACCACUGCUCCCACCUCUUUUACGCUUUUCCCUCCUCUGCUCACCUUGCACUUGCUCCAGAGGCAUUUCCUCCUCUUCAUCAAAAUCACCAUAGUCUUCCCAGCUGCCCACAGCUGACCCACUCACGGAACAGUCGUGCUCAACCGCCACCACAGGUGGACUGCCAACCAGGUUCGAAUUUUUGGCAGUGCUCCAACCAAGUUUGCCAGCAGACGCCGCUGCCAUCCGUCCUCUCUCCUCCUUCUUCUCCAGCGUUUUUUCGAAAAAGCCCAGGAGGUGUCGUGGAAAGGAUUUUGGCCCGAUCCGCCAUUUUCGGGGUCUAGCAAGUGAAAAGGGAGCGAAGGCACACACAACAGCCAUGGUUCGUAUUUGCUGUGUGGUCGGCUGCAAUGUUCGAUCGCACGACCGGCAAGAGAAUAAGCUUGAAAAGGGUUUAUCUUUUCAUUCUUUCCCAACCUGGAAGCAACAUGAAGCAGCUCGUGUAUCGAUGUUACCAAACAAAGGCGUCUAGCCUGGAUAGCAGCUGUGAGACGAGCUGAUAUCCAGCUCUCUUCCAUCUCCAAAUAUCUGUUGGUGCUCCAGACAUUUUCAUUCCGAGUUGCUAAUUAUUUGGCAUUAUUGCAACAAACCAGCCUAUGAAAUGGAUGAAACACAUCGUGACUGGGUUCCAGCGCUACAUAACGGACCUGCUUCAAACAUACCACCAUGCCAAUCAGAUUACUUCUUCCAUGUGAGGGUGAAGAGGUGACCCUUCUGGAUAAGAUGGUGAAGGUUUGCUGCGUUUGUUGAACAGUGUUGUAGUAAAACCAGGGAAAAUGAAACUUGCUCCUGUUAAAUAUUCUUAAGUCUUUUGCUGUAUAAAUAGUGGGUUGUUUUUUUUCAAAAGAUACAGUAAAUAAUGUUAGUAGUGGGUGAUAUCAUGUAAACACUGUCAUGAUUUUAUGUAAACAUUUUGUCUUUUAUAAACUAUAAAUGACAUGGAUUCUACACUGUAACUGAUGUGAUGUUCUAUAAAGUGGUUUUAAUAAUAAAAAAGAGGCAAAAAUUAGUUUGUUUCUUUAUUCAAUUUUUGAACAGUGGUACUCAGUCAGUACAUAUUCAGUAAAUGCAAAUUAUUUACAUGGCAGUGCACUUCAG